Molecule: unclassified non-coding RNA, 236 nt
Filed under: Hevea brasiliensis (rubber tree)
Lineage: Eukaryota; Viridiplantae; Streptophyta; Magnoliopsida; Malpighiales; Euphorbiaceae
Source: RNAcentral
AAAAUGAAGUUCAAUAUUGCAAAUCCUACCACUGGGUGUCAGAAGAAGCUCGAGAUAGAUGAUGACCAGAAACUCCGUGUGUUUUUUGACAAAAGGAUCUCACAAGAAGUCAGUGGGGAUGCCCUGGGUGAGGAGUUCAAGGGUUAUGUGUUUAAGAUUAUGGGAGGUUGUGACAAACAGGGUUUUCCAAUGAAACAAGGAGUUCUAACUCCUGGCCGUGUUCGACUUUUGCUUCA